AGGUUAAAAAAAAAGGCCACUCAUUAAAGGACUAUAGAGCUCGGUGGACAGAAAGCAGGUGAAUGUACCUGUGCUAAACCUUACAUGGGAUUUUGUGCCAUAGGAAUUUCUGGAGCCACAACAGUCUCAUGAGUUCCAAUAUCAUCAGUUCAGAAGCCUUUACUCCUACAAAGAAGAUGGGGAUUCAUGCUCUAACAACUUGAAAGAGAAAGAAUCUGGCCUCAGGAAAGGAUCUGAAGUCAUCAGAAAAUCUAUUCUCUGCUCUUCGUCAUGGUAAUCUGUGCUCCAGCAGGCUAACUUGUAUGGACUACAUCAUCUGAAUUCUCUUGCUCUCUUAUUUCUCAUUGGGUUCAUCCAGGGGCUUGUCAACUACUGUGAUCAUCAUUACAAAGCUAUUAAUGCUGAGUUAUUACUCUUCUAUCCUCAGUUCAGUUUAAACUUCCUUUGAGUGGUUUUUCACAAGCUAGCCACCAAGCAAUACUAUGAUGAUAAAAAUAAAGAUAAGACAAAGGAACUGU
Lutra lutra (Eurasian river otter) is the source of this 518-nucleotide long non-coding RNA. RefSeq lists it as uncharacterized. The transcript has 4 exons. Lineage: Eukaryota; Metazoa; Chordata; Mammalia; Carnivora; Mustelidae. The record is from RefSeq and is a predicted model, not a curated record.